This 12742-nucleotide long non-coding RNA is filed under the name Eucalyptus grandis. Its description in RNAcentral is "long non-coding RNA (EGRA_LNC004934)". The record is from RNAcentral. Lineage: Eukaryota; Viridiplantae; Streptophyta; Magnoliopsida; Myrtales; Myrtaceae.
UCAAAUUCUCCCUCACUUCCUCCACCAUGAAACCCUCUCAACCUUCCCAAGCAAAGUACUUGCAAGAAAAUGACAUCUCCCAAAAAUGCCGAGACCUCCUUCCCUCGCUCCCUCACGAAAAAGGCUGGAUCACCCCCUCUCUCUACCAAUACCAAGGCUUCUGGGUUGCCCCGAAGCUCUUGAACGGCGUCCUCGCGUGCCAAGACAACUUCCGAGUCCAAGAAACCGACAUCCUCCUCAUCACGGCCCCCAAAUGCGGUACCACCUGGUUGAAGGCUAUCCUCUUCUGUCUCUCAACCCGAGGCAGGUACUCAGGUUCAAUGCAACAACACCCUCUCCUCACCCAAAGCCCCCACGACCUCGUGCCGUUCUUGGAGCUCAAGCUCUACUUUGGGCAAGAGAUCCCCAACCUCACCUCGCUACCAUCCCCGAGGCUCUUCGCUACCCACUUGCCUUAUCAAUCACUCCCACAGUCGGUCAAGGACUCUGGGUGCAAGCUGGUGUACCUGUGCAGGAACCCUAAGGACACCUUCGUCUCGCUCUGGCACUUCGCCAACAAGCUGAGGUCUAAAGAGACAGGUGGGAUGCCGCUCGGAGAGUGCCUCGACGCUUUCUGCCAGGGCGUAAGCCCGUUUGGACCCUACUGGGACCACGUGCAGGGGUACUACAAGGUGAGCUUGGAGAUGCCUGACAGGGCGUUGUUCUUGAGGUACGAGGACAUGAAAGAGGACCCGCAUGCUCAUGUCAAGAGGCUCGCCGACUUCUUAGGUUGUCCAUUCGGCGAACAAGAGCUGAGAGAUGGGACCGUGGACGGCAUAGUGAGGAUGUGUAGCUUCGAUAGUUUGAGCAUGCUGGAGGUGAACAAGAGCGGGAGGUUAUCGACUGGACAAGAGACCAAGUCGUACUUUAGGAAAGGCGACGUCGGAGAUUGGGUGAAUCACAUGACUGUCGAGAUGGGGGAGAGAGUUGACCGUGUCAUGCAAGAGAAGAUGCACGGUUCAGGGUUGAAGCUUUGAUCUCAAUUUGGGUUUAUGACUAUGGCAACAAUAAUCAAUAAUGACUGUCUGUGGCCAAUGUCCGGUUGGCCUCUCAGAGUUGUACGAGUAAAUUAGUGUCAUGAUGUGCUGUAUGUUUAAUCGCAAUGUUAAAACUGUAAGAAUGUAUUUGUGCUUCUAUGAAUGCAUCGUCCUUUUUAUGUUUUUUUUCUAGUGAGAAGAUUAUGGUCCUUUAAUUCUUUUUAGCUGCCAUGAUGGGAUUUAUAAUCUAUAGUAAUUAAUUCCACAAGAUAAAAUGAUACAAUGUCAAAAUGCAAGGUAAGCCUCGCCUAGUGAGGCUCAAGCUCGCUCAAGGCCAUUGGUCGAGCUUGGGCCUUGUUAGAGGUUGGCGAGGCUCUGGGCGAUCUCAAGGGAGGCCCGAGCCCCGCCUUGCUCGUCGAAUUUGGCAAGGCUGGAGUCUCGCCGGCUUGUGGUGAGGCUCAAGCUUGCCUAAGGCCGGUCACCCCGGCGUCGUCGUGGCUAAUGAUUAGUUGAGGAAGAGGAAGAGGAAGAGGAAGAAGAAGAAGAAGAAAAUUAAAAAUUGAUUUUAAAAAAUAAAAAUAAAAACCACUAAAAAGUAGUGUAUGAAGGAAAAUAUUUUCCUUGUUGAACAACAUAAAAUAUUUGUUAGUUUUAGCCAAAUAUAAAAAAAAAAAAAAUAUUAUCAUUUUCUUAGAAAAUGACUUCCUGAAAAAUAUUUUCUAGAAACUUCAUAUUUUUUACGAAACAAAUGAAGCCUAAGUUCAGUUUUGGGAAAAUCACAACCCAAACCCAAACCCACACUAAAUAAAUAAAAUUACAACACAACUCAAACGAACAACUUUGGUUUGUUAUUGAGUUGGUUCGCUGUCACACUGGCACCAUCAAGCCAAUUUACUCGUUCUUAGGCUGUCUAAGCGUGCAAAGGAAUAAACCAUAUGAGCACCUAAUUCUACUCGUUCUUGGGAAAAGGGAAUAUGGUCACAAUUCAAUCAAACUAAUUGUCGAUAGCAUUAAAAGAUAUUAUUUAAUUAAACAUGAGUUCUCAAAAGAUCAUGAAAAACUCUUUUGUUGGUAUUAUUUGAGAUUAGAAACCAAUCAAUUAUUGCGAAUUUGAGAAGUAGAAACUUUCAUUUAAUAGUAUAGAACUGUCUUAAGAACGAACUUAUUUGGUUAGAUUUAAUGACAAAUUUUACUAGUCAGAACGCAAAUAAUUAAUAAUUAAAAUUUUCAGUUUGGUGCGAUUUUAUUGUUUUCCAAAGUUAUAGAUCAAAACCAAACAAAUAAGAAAAAAAAUCCUAAAGCAAAAUCACACCGCUACAUUUUUAUGAACCAAUUGGUUUACUUCAGCUCAUUUUAUCGAUUUUCAAUUUUUUUGUGGACACCCCCGCAAGUGGCUAAGUUGUCACUUCUUUUCUUGAAAUCACCCUCCACCCUCCCUUCCCGAGAAAACAGAAAACAAAAAACAAAAAAAUUCUGCCAAAUCUGCAUCCCCAUUUUUAAUUUUUUUUUUCUGCUCUUAUUCCUAAAACUUAAAGAGGAACCUUAGAAAUCCAAACCCUAGCCGCCGCCUCCUCCUCCUAAGCUCUUCCUCCUUGCACGGCAUCCCCAUUUUUAAUUUAUUUUUUUCUGCUCUUCUUUCUAAAACUAAAAGAGCAACCUUGGAAACCGAAAAACCCUAGCUGCCUCCUCCACCGACUUUUUGCUCAUCUUGUUUUUGGCUCUUUUGAGUGUUUUGAUAAACCCGUGUAGUUUGUUUGAACCCCUCCCUUUUUUUAUAUAUAAAAUUUACCAACCCCACCAUUAAUUAGUUUCGUCCAUGAUAACUACGAAUUUUCAAGUUCGCGCAGUAAAACCCAUGUACCCGCACCUGGAUCGGUCCCAACUUUGUUCAAUGGGGAUCUCUUUUUUCACCAAAACGGUACACUACUUUUACUGAUAAGUUGGGCUUCAGUCACUUUUUUCAGAAUGGGAUUUCCUGUUUCAAUCAUGUGAUCUCGAUGCGUGUUAGUGUCUUACAGCCUCUGUUAGAAGUAUGCCCUAAAAUUAAUUAACUAAUUAAAAAAAAAUUUAAAGCUUCAUGCAUGUGCACGAAGCAUAAUAGUCAGCGGUCGCUGACCAUUAUGCACGAAGCAUGGAUGGUCAGCAACCGCUGACCAUCAUGCCAAGAUCGUGCAUGAGCGGUUGCUCUGCUCAUGCACGAUCGUGUGCUUUGGACGAUCAGCAACGGUUGCUGAUCGUCCAUUGAUUAGCAACCGUUGCUAGUCAGUUUUUAGUAUAAAACAAUUGAGGGAUGAGAGAAAAUUAGCUGUUGAAAAAUAGAGAAAAGUGUGGGCGUGCUUCUUGUGUUUUUAGACACAUACGAGAGUAAUUUCUUUUUCUGAAAAGAGAGAGCAAAUUGUGUGCGUGUUCUUGUGUCUUUGAGACGCAAGAAAGAAGAACGUUAUCGCGUUCGGGUCGUGACUAUUAUACAUCAAGGAUACGACGGUUUGUUUCCACGUGAUUGCUAGCACGAUCGAAGUGGAGAAUAUCCAAAGGUUCUCUCUUCCGUUCGACGUUCGUUGUUGGUGUGUCUGAACUAGAGGUCCGACGCUUGUGGGACUCGAAUUGUAGAACAUCCGAACCGACUCGUUUCACAGCGCGCUUCGAGAGGUAAUUCGUUUAACUCCCUUUUAUGUUUAGAUUUUUGAUUAAAACGCACGAACAACACCUUAGGAGAAUCAUGUGUCAAAUAUAUAUUUGUUUCCGCUACGUACUUUAUGUUAAUAUUUCUUAUAUAUGAUUCAUGAAACCCCAACAGUGGUAUCAGAGCCAAACUUAGGCAUUUUUCGUGCGUUUAAUUGAUUUGUAGUUCAAAUAUAUUUUUGCGUUCUAAUGGCCAAUUUAUUUUUGUUAGGAGAAUUGGUUCUCUUACCUUUUAUGUGGCCUAUAGAAGUUGAUUGAUUUAUGUGAUAAAUUUAAUCAAUAAAGCAAAAAAUUAGAACUAAAUCAAUUUUGAAUCAAAAAUCUGUAACUUGUUAUACUUGAUGUUUAUAUUUUGCAAAUGAUAUGCAGAAUUUUAUGCAUGUCUUCCAGAGCUUUAAAUUUUGAAUUUAUGGCUCGUAAGGAAGGGUGGUGAUCAUGGAAAAAUCCCUAAUUGUUGUGAUUGUUGUAUGGAUGAAUGUAUGAUGAUUACAGGUAUUCUUUUUGGGGAUGUAAUUAUUAAAUGGAGGCUGCGUCCUUCUUUUUAUAUUUAUUUUUACGAAAUGUAAUUUAAGUAGUGUAGUAUUUCAAUUAUUGAUGUAAAUACUACAAGAGAGGAGGAGCCAUUGGAGGAGCCAUUAAACCGGUGAGCUCUCUGGGCCCGGUCUUUGAAGAGUUCAAAGAUUGAAGAAAAAGUGAAGAGCAGGUCCAUAUUAUUAAAACAUUAAAAUGGCUAAAUGGGUCUCUUUGGCUCGAGACCCAUUGAACCAUAAUUCCAUGAUCACCACAUAGGAUAUAUAUUAUGUGAUAUCUAUUUAUUUAAUGUGUUUAUGAUAUCGUGCAUGUUAAACUGGUUAAUAUGCAAAGUGAGACCGUUAAUAACGACCCAAAUCUCCUUACAAUGAAUAUUAAGUCGAAACGGGUUUCAGACUCGUGGCCUUCCAUCGUCGUGGUUUGAUCCAAUAUUAUAGUGGUUAACUAACCGGUUAUGGAUACAUAGGGGUUAAUUACCAUUUAUAAUAUUGGACCACUCCAUUAUGCAUAUGAUGCUGUGGGGUUGGAGCCAAAUGAUUUCCAAUAACUGUUAGGUGAGGGAAUCAUUUGUGUUUUCAAUACUUGCAUGAGACGAUGGGCUAGACUUAACUAUGAUCAUGAUGCCAAUAACUGUUAGGUGGGGCUUUCAUGGUCUGGAGGCCGAAGUUAUGAUUGGGAUUCGCAUAUGAUGCGUUGAACAAGCUGGUUCACUCACUAAGUUCAUAGGACACCAAUAAUUGUUAGGUGAGGUGGACUUUGGGCUAGUGGGACUCCAACCCCCACUAGUAAUUUUUACCCAACAAAGAUUACCGCUUCCCAUCUUAAGGAGUAUGGGAUUCGAAUAUAAAUUUAGUGGGAGGAUCUAUUUCAUUUAAAGACCAAAAUGAAAUAGUUAUUAUAAAAAGUACAACGGCUAACAAUUUAUUUUCUGCAACAGAUAUAUUAUUACUCUGAAAAAUGGUAACCACAAACCCACUCACUUCUGUACUUGACAAGAAUUGUUUGACUGGACCUAAUUUCACUGACUGGGUGAGGAAUUUGAGAAUUGUUCUCAAUUCAGAAAAAAUUGGGUAUGUGCUUGAUGAAAAGAUGCCAACCUCCUUUCCUGAGGGUGGGACCCAAGAGGAGCGUGUUACUUAUGAUAAGUGGCGUGAUGAUGACUUAAAAGUUAGGUCAUAUAUGCUUGCUUCUAUGAAUAAUGAAUUACAGAAGAAGUAUGAAUCUAUGGAAGAUGCUGGGUCGAUCAUUUUGCACUUAAAGGAAUACUUUGAUGAGAAUGGUCGAACCUCUAGAUAUAAGAUAUCCAAGGCAUUGUACCGUAUGAGGAUGGCUGAAGGAUCAUCUGUUAAUGAUCAUGCUUUGAAAAUGAUCUGGCACAUUGAAGAAUUGGCAAGGCUGAAUCUCAUUAUGGACAAUGAGUUAGCUGUGGAUUUGAUCCUCCAAUCUUUACCCGAUUCCUUCUCUGGUUUUGUCCAAAACUUCCACAUGCAUAAGAUGGAGAAAACUCUUGCUGAGUUACAUAGCAUGCUGGUAGUUUAUGAGAAGGAAAUGCAUAACACGAGGCCAAAUGUAGUGGCUAUGGCUAAGGCUUCUUCUUCAAAGGGUAAGAUUGUUUUAAAGAAGAAUAAAUGGAAGAGGCCUACCAAACCUGUUGUGCAACCAAAACCCAUGAUUGAUAAAGGGAAAUGUCAUUACUGUGGUGUCAAAGGGCACUGGAGGAGGAACUGUAAGAGGUACCUCGCGAGCUUGAAUGUCAAGCCCAAGAACCGGCCUUAUGAAGGUAUGGUGUCUAUGCUUAUUGAAACCAAUCUUAUGGUUAGUGCUGAAUCCAGCUCAUGGGUUCUAGAUUCUGCUGCAACUUCACAUAUUUGUAUGUCUUUGCAGAAUCUGAAAAUAAGCAGGAUGCUAAGACGAAAUGAGAUUGUCCUGACGUUUGCCAAUGGAGCAAGAGUUGCUGCAUUAGCUAUAGGGACUUUUCAUUUAUGUUUGCCUUCUGGACAUGUAAUGUUUUUAAAGAACUGUUUGCAUUAUAAGAAUGCUGUUAGGAACAUCAUCUCUAUACCUCGUUUGGGUAAAGAGAAUUAUGAAUUUUCUUUUGCUGAUGAUGUAUGUUCUAUUUAUCAUAAUAGAAUAUGUGUUGGUUCUAGCUUAUUAACCAACAAUCUUUAUACCAUUACAAUGUCCGGUAAUGCGAUUACCAAUGUCAAUAAGCAAAAUAGAAUUGAUAUAAAUGCCAUAACUAAUAAACGCCCUAGAGACGAUCCAAAUAAAAAGUAUGUUUGGCAUCUCCAAUUAGGUCAUAUUGGAGAAGACAGAAUUAACAAGUUGAGUAAUGAUGGAUACAUUGAUUCUUCAAAUUUUGAGUCAUACUCGACUUGUGAGGCAUGUCUUCUAGGAAAAAUGACCAAAGCGCCUUUUGUGGGACAAAGUGUGCGAGCUGCUAACAUAUUAGAAUUAAUACAUACAGAUGUAUGUGGACCAAUUAAUGAAACUGCUAGAGGUGGUUAUAAUUACUUCAUUACCUUCAUCGAUGAUCAUUCACGGUAUGGUUAUUUAUACCUCAUGAAGUAUAAAUCUGAAUCCUUUGAAAAGUUCAAGGAAUUCAAGGCUGAAGUUGAGAAACAAACAGGAAAAUGUAUUAAGGCUCUUCGAUCGGAUCGAGGAGGUGAAUACCUUAGUACUGAAUUCCUGGACUAUCUUAAAGAGAAUGGCAUUUUAUCACAAUGGACACCUCCUGGAACUCCAGAACAUAAUGGUGUAUCUGAACGAAUAAAUCGUACUUUAUUAGAUAUGGUACGAUCUAUGAUGAGUUACACUGAUUUACCAAUUUCCCUUUGGGGAUAUGCCCUUGAGACAGCUGUAUAUAUACUGAAUAGAGUGCCGUCCAAAUCUGUUCCAACUACGCCCUAUGAGAUAUGGCAUAGUAGGAAACCCAGUCUUAAUCAUAUUAAGAUUUGGGGUUGUCCAGCUUUCAUGAAAAAGCUAAAAAUGGAAAAAUUGGAGGCAAGAUCUGAACAAUGUCGCUUCAUUGGAUAUCCAAAGGAAACUCUUGGAUAUUAUUUCUAUUUUCAUUCAAACCAAAGAAUUUUGGUAUGCAAGCAUGCUUCUUUUUUGGAGAAUCAGUUCAUCCAAGAAAGUGGUGCUGGGCGGAAAAUAGUCUUACAAGAAGAAAAUAAUGAAGUGCCAAACUACCGAGUUCAGAUACCAAUCUCUGAUUCAGUGGGAGCUUCUAAUACACAACCUCUUAGGAGAAGUGCGAGAACGUCUCGCCCACCUGCUCGUUAUAGACACUCGGUUGAUCAUAUUGAACCAUUAUUCAUUGUGAAUGAUAGUGAUCAACCCGGUGAUCCUAAAACCUAUGAGGAGGCGAUGUUGGACAUCGAUUCUGGUAAAUGGCUAGAGGCCAUGAAAUCCGAAAUGGAUUCAAUGUAUUCCAAUGAGGUUUGGACCUUGACUGACCUGCCUGAUGGUAUUGUACCAAUUGGCUGUAAAUGGAUCUUCAAGAGGAAGAUGAAUGUUGAAGGUCAAAUUGGAAUUUACAAAGCACGGCUGGUGGCGAAAGGAUAUCGUCAAAAAGAAGGAAUUGAUUAUGACGAAACUUUCUCACCUGUGGCCAUGCUAAAAUCCAUUCGGAUUAUGUUGGCUAUAGCUGCACACCUUGAUUAUGAGAUAUUCCAGAUGGAUGUCAAAACGGCUUUUCUAAAUGGUUUUCUCAAUGAGGACAUCUAUAUGGAACAGCCACAGGGUUUUGAAUCCAAUAGUGAAAAACAGAAGGUGUGUAAGCUUAAGAGAUCCAUUUAUGGACUCAAACAAGCCUCCAGAAGUUGGAACAUCCGUUUUGAUGAGGUAGUCAAAUCGUUUGGUUUCAUUAAAAAUCCAAAUGAACCUUGUGUAUACAAGAAGAUCAGUGGGAGUGCAAUUGCAUUUCUAGUUUUGUAUGUCGAUGAUAUACUUUUGAUUGGAAAUGAUGUACCAAUGAUAUCAUCGAUAAAACUAUUAUUGUCACAGAAAUUCUCCAUGAAAGAUUUAGGAGAGGCAACCUACAUUUUAGGUAUCAAGAUCUAUAGAGAUAGAUCAAGACGAUUGAUUAGCCUCUCACAAUCUACGUACAUAGACAAAGUGUUAACACGGUUUAACAUGCAAUGUUCCAAGAGAGGAUUAUUGCCUUUUAGGCAAGGGAUCCGUCUUUCUAAGGAGAUGUGUCCCAACACUCCUGAAGAAAGAGAGCGGAUGGCAAAGAUACCAUAUGCAUCUGCUAUUGGAAGCAUAAUGUAUGCUAUGCUAUGUACUAGACCUGAUAUUGCGCAUGUUGUAAGUAUUACUAGCAGAUAUCAGUCUGAUCUAGGAGAAGAGCACUAGAUAGCAGUCAAGAAUAUUCUUAAGUACUUACGAAGGACUAAAGAUUUAUUCUUGAUAUAUGGAGAAGGAGAAUUUAAAGUUGUAGCUUAUACUGAUUCUGAUUUUCAAUCGGAUCCUAAUGAUUAUAAGUCUACGUUUGGGUUUGUCUUUACAUUCAAUGGUGGUGCAGUUAGUUGGAAAAGUUCCAAACAAAGUAUAACUGCCGAUUCCACUACUGAAGUAGAGUAUGUAGCUGCUUCUGAAGCAGCAAAGGAAGCCGCUUAUAUGAAGAAGUUUAUUUCUGAACUUGGAGUUGUUCCUUCAAUUGAGCAACCGAUCACAUUGUUUUGUGACAACAAUGGGGCGAUAGCUCAAGCUAAGGAACCAAGGUCUCACCAGAAGUCCAAGCACAUUGAGAGACGCUUCCAUCUCAUCAGAGAAAUUGUUGGGAGAGGUGAUAUCGCCUUGCAGAAAAUUGCCUCAGCAGAAAAUGUGGCAGAUCCCUUCACUAAGGCCUUAUCUCAGUCUUCUUUUGAAAAACAUAUUGAUAAAAUGGGUUUGAGGUACCAGACAAGUUGGCUUUAGUGCAAGAGAGAAAUUGUUAGAUGUAUGCCCUAAAGAUGCUAUGUAAUAGUUACAUAUUAGGGAUUUCAGUUGUAUUUUCAUUAUUAUUAUUAAUGGCAAUGACGUAUUCAUUCAUUUGUCCAAUUAUUUUAUAUUAAUGAAUGAUUCCAUAAGAUCAGUUGCAACUAGACCUGUUCUUGAGACGUCAAGAAUAUAUGUGACUGGUUCAUAGUUAGACUGAAUCUUUAAAUCGUUCCCGGUCGAUGGAUUAUUGAGUGGAUAUUAAUAAUCCUGUUGAGGCCGGUGUGUUCUUAACUUCGCCAUUAAGUAUUGGAUACUUAAGGGAAUGAUGAGUCACAUGUCAUUGGGUAUUAUGAUGCCUGAGUUAGAACACAGGUGUUUGUAUUAGACAAAUUCACUGAACGUGACGCAUAUGGAACGAUUAGCGACAUGGAAGCUUUUAGCGUGGUCAAUGUCUAAUUGUUCAUGCUUUGGUCUUGUGUAAAUAAUCCUUAGACCUGAGGCACAGUGUUAACUUGUGUAUCAAACAACUAUGGUUCACGGGUGCACAUAAUGCCGGGUCGUCGAUCCGUCUUUAUACUUGAUGGUCAUAGUUUGUUCAUAUAUGAAGUUACACGUGUGCGCAAUAUGGAAUAUGUCUCCUUGUUAUAUGCAAUGUAUGAUAAUGAUGUCCUAUGCGAUCUAAUUGUGACACUGCAUUGAAAUCCUCGGCCGGGGUUGUAAUCGAAAAUAAAUUGUUUAUGUCUCAAAUAAAAUGCAUGUCAAUUAGAUUUGUGCAUAUGAUCGAAUUAAUGACUUGACAAAUAUUCCAUGGUCUUUGUUUGAUCGGGACAUAGUAAGACAGAGGGAUUGAAUUACACUGUAGCCAAAGCUGACAGGUUCAUUAUGUUCUUAAAGUAUUCACACUAUCUGGGUAGCCAUAACAUAUUGCUAGAUAUCAAUCGUGGCUUGUAGGACCUAAAAGAUUAAUCGGGACAAUUAAUUCUUUUGGAAGUACUAAUUUGUUAGUACAAGUCUUACUACCAGCUUAGUGAUAAACCUAGGGAUGUCACACACCAUAAACAAUUAGGAUGACGUGGAACAAGAGAGAAAUAUUAUUGCAAAUGUAUUUGCAAUUACUGCAAUCGAAUUGAGUCGAUUUGAAAUUAAAUUAAAUGAGAUUUAAUUUAAUUUGUAUUAUAGUCACGAGCCUACUUGCAUAUGAUGUACACGCAUGCCCAAAGUGGAUAUAUGUUAACAUAUCAAACAAGUUGGCUUUAGUGCAAGUGGGAGAUUGUUAGAAGUAUGCCCUAAAAUUAAUUAACUAAUUAAAAAAAAAAUUAAAGCUUCAUGCAUGUGCACGAAGCAUAAUGGUCAGCGGUUGCUGACCAUUAUGCACGAAGCAUGGAUGGUCAGCAACCGCUGACCAUCAUGCCAAGAUCGUGCAUGAGCGGUUGCUCAUGCACGAUGGUCGUGCAUGAGCAACCACUCAUGCACAAUCGUGUGCUUUGGACGAUCAGCAACGGUUGCUGAUCGUCCAUUGAUUAGCAACCGUUGCUGGUUAGUUUUUAGUAUAAAACAAUUGAGGGAUGAGAGAAAAUUAGCUGUUGAAAAACAGAGAAAAGUGUGGGCGUGCUUCUUGUGUUUUUAGAGACAUACGAGAGUAAUUUCUUUUUCUGAAAAGAGAGAGCAAAUUGUGUGCGUGUUCUUGUGUCUUUGAGACGCAAGAAAGAAGAACGUUAUCGCGUUCGGGUCGUGACUAUUAUACAUUAAGGAUACGACGGUUUGUUUCCACGUGAUUGUUAGCACGAUCGAAGUGGAGAAUAUCCGAAGGUUCUCUCUUCCGUUCGACGUUCGUUGUUGGUGUGUCUGAACUAGAGGUUCGACGCUUGUGGGACUCGAAUUGUAGAACAUCCGAACCGACUCGUUUCAAAGCGCGCUUCGAGAGGUAAUUCGUUUAACUCCCUUUUAUGUUUAGAUUUUUUAUUAAAACGCACGAACAACACCUUAGGAGAAUCAUGUGUCAAAUAUAUAUUUGUUUCCGCUGCGUACUUUAUGUUAAUAUUUCUUAUACAUGAUUCAUGAAACCCCAACAGCCUCUAUAUGCCUUUUCAGAUUUCUAACGUUAUUCCGGAGCAAUAAUGGUCCAGCAAUGAAUCUUCUCAUGCAAUAAGCCUCUGUAUCUAACGUCACCAUCGAAAGCUAGUUGAUUGUCAUGCACUAGAGAAAGUAAUGCCUACAAACUUCAGCAUUUUUUAUCUUUACUGGUUGAGAUGGAGAUCUUAGUUACAGAAUAUUUAAAGCCAGUGUCGGUCGACCUAACAAGGUCAGCUUAGAUUAUUUUAAGCGAUGAUUAUAAGGUACAUGAAUACGAGUAUCUGAUAUUGAACAGCAAGCAGAAAAAAGACUUGUUUUCGUUUAGAUGCUUUAUUUCUAAUUUUCUCUCAAAAGAAAAUGACGACCGCAGCGUCUCCGAACUUCCGUCGAUUAUCGGGGUUUGCAAUAUGCAAGGAAUGUUGACAGUGUCACAGUAUUACAUGCCAUAACCUCCCUUAUUAGUUUUCAGCAAGCAUGUCGAAAAUUUUCAAAAGACAAUGAACAUUAUUUAUUGAUUUCUGAUAUCAAGUAUCAACGUGAUGUUUUCUAAAAUGUUUUUUCCGUAAGAAGAUUCAUUCAAAUAACCUAGCCCGUCCACUUUUGUAGGAGUUGGAUUUAGAUUUCUUGCAUCUUGUUUCAUGGAGCAAAUGCAUCGUCCCGGCAGUCAUAGUAACCGAUUUAUUCUCAUAGAUUUAAUGAGUGAUGCUAGGAUGUUAUAUACGCACAGAAAUAAUCUAUGUGGUAAGUUCGAAUAAAUAGGACACACCGAAGAAUUUAAAGCGGGAGAGAUUUAUUUGUGUAUUAGUAAUACAGAAGUUGCAGAUGAUGCGAGGAGUAGCGAAAGUAUAUUCAACAUCUUUUUACAUAAAGAUGCGAUUAGAUAUCUAAAUGUAGUGUAUAAAAAAAAAGAUCAAUUUGACCGAAUAAGGUGUAUGUACAAGAUGAACAUAGCAUAAAACAACCGUAUAUGUGAAAAGAAAAAAAGAGAAGGCAUCGGCUAUAGCCUUUUCGAAGGAUUUCUAACUUAAUUCAGGAGCAAUAAUAGACCAGCUAUAUGAAUCUUCUAAUGCAAUGAGCCUCUCUAUUUAACGUCAUCACUGAAACCCUAAGCUAACAGCCUAACCCCCUUUCUUCCCCUUCAUCGAGCCCAUAUUAGCUAUAACAACCCUUCACUCUGUAAUUCUCCCUCUCUUCCUCCAUGACACCCACUCAACCUCAGCAAGCAAAGUACUUGCAAGAAGAUGACAUCUCCCAGAAAUGCCGAGACCUCCUUCCCUUGCUCCCCCGCGAAAAGGGCUGGAUCACCACCUCUAUCUACCAGUACCAAGGCUUCUGGUAUUGCCCAAAGGUCUUGAGCGGCCUCCUCGCUUGCCAAGACCACUUCCAAGCCCAAGACACCGACGUCCUCCUCAUCACUGCCCCUAAGUCUGGCACCACUUGCUUGAAGGCCACCCUCUUCGAUGCAACACCAUCCUCUCCUCACCCAAAGCCCUCACAACCUCGUGCCCUUCUUA